CCCUAAACCAGUGGUGGCGAGAGGAGGAGGUAGAGGCAGGAGGUCUUGGUGCUCCAUUCCAAAACCCCACCAUGCUCAGGUCAUUUGGAAACAGAUUACAAAACCUUUCUAACAAGCUUAUCAUGUGAAUUUCUGGUGCAAUCAUCCCCCCCUCUGUUUUCUGCAGACCUUACAUUUCCUGGGAAGGAGGAACUCUGUGCUGUCCCCAUGGAAUGGGAAGGACUUGGAUGCUUCACUAGGGCUUCUCUCUUCACCCCUCAUGAGCAGAGAUACUGAUCUUCAGUGCUGGUCCCAGAGGAAAAUUCACAAUUGGACAUCAGAGUGACCACAGAUGACAAAUGCAACAGCUUAUGGGAAAUGGAAUGUGAAAUAUCUUCAGAGGGGCAGCUUCUCUGGGUACUCAAACCAGGGCUAAGACACCUCGGAUUUAAGGUAAUAGCUACUAUAACUUUCUGAAAAUGAAGACCCUUUCCCUCUUUUGCCUUUUUUAUUCUUGCAAGUAUUUGCUACCCCAUCAUUAGGAUGCCUUUUUUGUUCUUUUACUCCUGAUCGAUGGCUCAGAGUUAUUUGUUUAGUCAUUAUUUUUAGUUUUGUGCGUGGCUGUUUGUCUGUUUAUUGAAAUGAACUGCCAUCCGGGCACCCUGAUCAAAGCAAAAGGCAUGAAAUCCCACGUGUUGCCCUUUUGAGAGCAACAACAAUGAAGCUAACCUUUCACCCUUGACUUUCUUUUAACCCUAAUUUUGAAAGACAGUAGCAAACAAUUCAGCUAACUUAAGUAAAAGAAUAUUCAAACUAGCUCGAUUGUAAUGCAGUGCUCCUUUCAAGUGAAUGGAAGGUCUGGAGUAAUGCAUGCAAGCACAGAGGCUGGGUAAGUUCAUUACUUUGGAGCUUCUGGUGCAGUAAUAGCAGUGAAAUGGUUAAAAGGCUGACUUUAAAGUGGUCACAAUUAGGCUUCAAAGUUAACACCCCACCCCACUGAGAUGAAUGGGAGCAGUUGACAUUUCUCAGUGCUAUUGUUUCAGUCUGGCUUGCUAUAGCUUCUAAAAUAAGACAACAGUACAUCUGUUUACAUUCUGCUUCCGCGAACCCAGAUGGGCUAGAAACUUCAUUGUUUGUUAAGUGGAAGCUUGGAUUCUGGAGAAUACAGCAAUAUCCACAGGGUAUCUGUAGGAAGAAGAGCCGAAAGCCGC
Molecule: long non-coding RNA, 1190 nt
Filed under: Serinus canaria (Common canary)
Lineage: Eukaryota; Metazoa; Chordata; Aves; Passeriformes; Fringillidae
Description: lncRNA (ENSSCAG00000009353.1)
Source: RNAcentral